GGGGAAUAUUGCACAAUGGGCGCAAGCCUGAUGUAGCAACGCCGCGUGAGGGACGACGGCCUUCGGGUUGUAAACCUCUUUUGGCAGGGAAGAAGCGAAAGUGACGGUACCUGCAGAAAAAGCACCGGCUAACUACGUGCCAGCAGCCGCGGUGAUACGUAGGGUGCUAGCGUUGUCCGGAAUAAUUGGGCGUAAAGAGCUCGUAGGCGGUUUGUCGCGUCUGCUGUGAAAACCCGAGGCUCAACCUCGGGCCUGCAGUGGGUACGGGCAAACUAGAGUGCGGUAGGGGAGAUUGGAAUUCCUGGUGUAGCGGUGGAAUGCGCAGAUAUCAGGAGGAACGCCGAUGGCGAUGGCAGAUCUCGGGGCCGUAACGGACGCGGAGGAGCGAAAGCAUGGGGAGCGAA
Molecule: ribosomal RNA, 404 nt
Filed under: uncultured bacterium
Lineage: Bacteria
Description: bacterial SSU rRNA
Rfam family: Bacterial small subunit ribosomal RNA
Source: RNAcentral